AGAGUUUGAUCAUGGCUCAGAACGAACGUUGGCGGCGUGGAUUAGGCAUGCAAGUCGAACGAGAAAGGUUCCUUCGGGAGCCGAGUACAGUGGCGAAAGGGUGAGUAAUGCAUAGAUAACCUGCCCUCGAGAUGGGAAUAACCUCGGGAAACUGGGGCUAAUACCCAAUGAGACCACGUGCCGCAAGGCAAGUGGCCAAAGAUAGCCUUCGGGCCUUCGCUUGAGGAGGGGUCUAUGUCCUAUUAGCUUGUUGGUGGGGUAACGGCCUACCAAGGCAUCGAUGGGUAGCCGACCUGAGAGGGUGGCCGGCCACGCUGGGACUGAGACACUGCCCAGACUCCUACGGGAGGCUGCAGUCGAGAAUCUUCCGCAAUGCGCGAAAGCGUGACGGAGCGACGCCGCGUGGAGGACGAAGGCCUUCGGGUUGUAAACUCCUGUCACUAGGGAAGAAAGGUAGGUAGUUAAUAGCUGUCCUGCUUGACGUUACCAGGAGAGGAAGCACCGGCUAAAUACGUGCCAGCAGCCGCGGUAAUACGUAUGGUGCGAACGUUGUUCGGAAUCACUGGGCUUAAAGAGCACGUAGGCUGUUGAGAAAGUCUGAUGUGAAAUCCCUCAGCUCAACUGAGGAACUGCAUUAGAAACUUCUCGGCUAGAGUGCAGGAGGGGAGAGUGGAAUUCCUGGUGGAGCGGUGAAAUGCGUAGAUAUCAGGAGGAACGCCGGUGGCGAAAGCGACUCUCUGGCCUGCUACUGACGCUGAGGUGCGAAAGCUAGGGGAGCGAACGGGAUUAGAUACCCCGGUAGUCCUAGCC
This 810-nucleotide ribosomal RNA is filed under the name uncultured bacterium. Its description in RNAcentral is "bacterial SSU rRNA". It matches the Rfam family "Bacterial small subunit ribosomal RNA", at positions 8 to 801 of the family's 1533-position model. The record is from RNAcentral.